RNAcentral lists this ribosomal RNA (1343 nucleotides) under uncultured bacterium. RNAcentral describes it as "16S ribosomal RNA". It matches the Rfam family "Bacterial small subunit ribosomal RNA", at positions 28 to 1378 of the family's 1533-position model. The record is from RNAcentral.
GACGAACGCUGGCGGCGUGCUUAACACAUGCAUGUCGAACGGAAAGGCCCUGCUUUUGUGGGGUGCUCGAGUGGCGAACGGGUGAGUAACACGUGAGUAACCUGCCCUUGACUUUGGGAUAACUUCAGGAAACUGGGGCUAAUACCGGAUAGGAGCUCCUGCUGCAUGGUGGGGGUUGGAAAGUUUCGGCGGUUGGGGAUGGACUCGCGGCUUAUCAGCUUGUUGGUGGGGUAGUGGCUUACCAAGGCUUUGACGGGUAGCCGGCCUGAGAGGGUGACCGGCCACAUUGGGACUGAGAUACGGCCCAGACUCCUACGGGAGGCAGCAGUGGGGAAUAUUGCACAAUGGGCGGAAGCCUGAUGCAGCAACGCCGCGUGCGGGAUGACGGCCUUCGGGUUGUAAACCGCUUUCGCCUGUGACGAAGCGUGAGUGACGGUAAUGGGUAAAGAAGCACCGGCUAACUACGUGCCAGCAGCCGCGGUGAUACGUAGGGUGCGAGCGUUGUCCGGAUUUAUUGGGCGUAAAGGGCUCGUAGGUGGUUGAUCGCGUCGGAAGUGUAAUCUUGGGGCUUAACCCUGAGCGUGCUUUCGAUACGGGUUGACUUGAGGAAGGUAGGGGAGAAUGGAAUUCCUGGUGGAGCGGUGGAAUGCGCAGAUAUCAGGAGGAACACCAGUGGCGAAGGCGGUUCUCUGGGCCUUUCCUGACGCUGAGGAGCGAAAGCGUGGGGAGCGAACAGGCUUAGAUACCCUGGUAGUCCACGCUGUAAACGGUGGGUACUAGGUGUGGGGUCCAUUCCACGGGUUCCGUGCCGUAGCUAACGCUUUAAGUACCCCGCCUGGGGAGUACGGCCGCAAGGCUAAAACUCAAAGGAAUUGACGGGGCCCCGCACAAGCGGCGGAGCAUGCGGAUUAAUUCGAUGCAACGCGUAGAACCUUACCUGGGUUUGACAUGGAUCGGGAGUGCUCAGAGAUGGGUGUGCCUCUUUUGGGGUCGGUUCACAGGUGGUGCAUGCCUGUCGUCAGCUCGUGUCGUGAGAUGUUGGGUUAAGUCCCGCAACGAGCGCAACCCUUGUUCACUGUUGCCAGCACGUUAUGGUGGGGACUCAGUGGAGACCGCCGGGGUCAACUCGGAGGAAGGUGGGGAUGACGUCAAGUCCUCAUGCCCCUUAUGUCCAGGGCUUCACGCAUGCUACAAUGGCUGGUACAGAGAGUGGCGAGCCUGUGAGGGUGAGCGAAUCUCGGAAAGCCGGUCUCAGCUCGGAUUGGGGUCUGCAACUCGACCUCAUGAAGUCGGAGUCGCUAGUAAUCGCAGAUCAGCAACGCUGCGGUGAAUAAAUUCCCGGG